Long non-coding RNA from Erinaceus europaeus (western European hedgehog), 359 nucleotides. RefSeq lists it as uncharacterized. NCBI's taxonomy places the organism in Eukaryota, Metazoa, Chordata, Mammalia, Eulipotyphla, Erinaceidae. The transcript has 3 exons. The record is from RefSeq and is a predicted model, not a curated record.
GUAUGUGAGUCGUGAGCACAGCUGGCCUGCUGUGUUUUGGUGUGUGCCAUGUGUGUUUACAGCUGGCCUGCUGUUUGCAUGUGUUCUGGUGUGAGCUACAUGUGCUGCGUGCAGCUGGUCUGGUUGUGUGUGUGUUGGUAUGAGCUGGCCUGCUGUGUGUGUGUGUCUGUCCCACUGUGUGUGUGUAUGCAACUGGCCUACUGUGUGUGUGUGCUACGUGCAGCUGGCCUACCCUGUGUGUGUGUGUGUGUGUCUGGCCUACCCUGUGUGUGUGUGCUGGUGUGAACUGUGUGCUACAUGCAGCUGGUCUGGUUGUAUAUGUGUUGGCACGAGCAGUGUGUGCUGGUGUGAGCCAUGUG